Non-coding RNA from Salvelinus sp. IW2-2015, 76 nucleotides. The record is from the annotation of a RefSeq genome assembly. NCBI's taxonomy places the organism in Eukaryota, Metazoa, Chordata, Actinopteri, Salmoniformes, Salmonidae.
GGCUCGUUGGUCUAGGGGUAUGAUUCCUUCGCUUCGGGUGCAGCGAAAGGUCCGGGUUCAAAUCCCGGACGAGCCC